GAUGAACGCUGGCGGCGUGCCUAAUACAUGCAAGUCGAGCGAACAGACGAGAAGCUUGCUCCUCUGACGUUAGCGGCUGACGGGUGAGUAACACGUGGAUCACCUACCUAUAUUACUGGGAUAACUUCGUGAAACCAGAUCUAAUACCGGAUAAUAUAUUGAACCGCAUGGUUCAAUAGUUAUAGACGGUUUUGCUGUCACUUAUAGAUGGAUCCGCGCCGCAUUAGCUAGUUGGUAAGGUAACGGCUUACCAAGGCAACGAUGCGUAGCCGACCUGAGAGGGUGAUCGGCCACACUGGAACUGAGACACGGUCCAGACUCCUACGGGAGGCAGCAGUAGGGAAUAUUCGGCAAUGGGCGAAAGCCUGACGGAGCAACGCCGCGUGAGUGAUGAAGGUCUUCGGAUCGUAAAACUCUGUUAUUAGGGAAGAAAAAAUGUGUAAGUAACUAUGCACGUCUUGACGGUACCUAAUCAGAAAGCAACGGCUAACUACGUG
This 497-nucleotide ribosomal RNA is filed under the name uncultured bacterium. RNAcentral's name for it is "partial 16S ribosomal RNA". It matches the Rfam family "Bacterial small subunit ribosomal RNA", at positions 28 to 507 of the family's 1533-position model. The record is from RNAcentral.